Molecule: ribosomal RNA, 253 nt
Filed under: uncultured bacterium
Lineage: Bacteria
Description: partial 16S ribosomal RNA
Rfam family: Bacterial small subunit ribosomal RNA
Source: RNAcentral
UACGGAGGGUGCAGGCGUUGUCCGGAAUCACUGGGCGUAAAGGGCGCGUAGGCGGCUCAUGAAGGCUGUGGUGAAAGUCCGGGGCUCAACCUCGGAUCGGCCGUGGCGACUCGUGGGCUGGAGCACUGUAGAGGCGGGUGGAAUUCCGGGUGUAGCGGUGGAAUGCGUAGAGAUCCGGAAGAACACCAGUGGCGAAGGCGGCCCGCUGGGCAGUGGCUGACGCUGAGGCGCGACAGCGUGGGGAGCAAACAGG